GACGAACGCUGGCGGCGUGCUUAACACAUGCAAGUCGAACGGAAAGGCCCUGCUUUUGUGGGGUGCUCGAGUGGCGAACGGGUGAGUAACACGUGAGUAACCUGCCCUUGACUUUGGGAUAACUUCAGGAAACUGGGGCUAAUACCGGAUAGGAGCUCCUGCUGCAUGGUGGGGGUUGGAAAGUUUCGGCGGUUGGGGAUGGACUCGCGGCUUAUCAGCUUGUUGGUGGGGUAGUGGCUUACCAAGGCUUUGACGGGUAGCCGGCCUGAGAGGGUGACCGGACACAUUGGGACUGAGAUAAGGCCCAGACUCCUACGGGAGGCAGCAGUGGGGAAUAUUGCACAAUGGGCGGAAGCAUGAUGCAGCAACGCCGCGUGCGGGAUGACAGCCUUCGGGUUGUAAACCGCUUUCGCCUGAGACGAAGCGUGAGUGACGGUAAUGGGUAAAGAAGCACCGGCUAACUACGUG
This 468-nucleotide ribosomal RNA is filed under the name uncultured bacterium. RNAcentral describes it as "partial 16S ribosomal RNA". It matches the Rfam family "Bacterial small subunit ribosomal RNA", at positions 28 to 507 of the family's 1533-position model. The record is from RNAcentral.